CACGUAGGAGUCAAGCGUUAUCCGAAUUCACUGGGCGUAAAGCGCGUGUAGGCGGCGCAAAAAGUUGGAUGUAAAAGCUCCUGGCUCAACUGGGAGAGGACGUUCAAUACUUUUGUGCUAGAGGACGGCAGAGGGAGGUGGAAUUCCCGGUGUAGUGGUGAAAUGCGUAGAUAUCGGGAGGAACACCAGUGGCGAAGGCGGCCUUCUGGGCCGUUUCUGACGCUCAGACGCGAAAGCUAGGGGAGCGAACGGG
This 253-nucleotide ribosomal RNA is filed under the name uncultured bacterium. RNAcentral's name for it is "partial 16S ribosomal RNA". It matches the Rfam family "Bacterial small subunit ribosomal RNA", at positions 524 to 776 of the family's 1533-position model. The record is from RNAcentral.